This 439-nucleotide ribosomal RNA is filed under the name uncultured bacterium. Its description in RNAcentral is "partial 16S ribosomal RNA". It matches the Rfam family "Bacterial small subunit ribosomal RNA", at positions 339 to 795 of the family's 1533-position model. The record is from RNAcentral.
CUACGGGGCGCAGCAGUGGGGAAUAUUGCACAAUGGAGGAAACUCUGAUGCAGCAACGCCGCGUGGAGGAUGACACUUUUCGGAGCGUAAACUCCUUUUAUAUAGGAAGAUAAUGACGGUACUAUAUGAAUAAGCACCGGCUAACUCCGUGCCAGCAGCCGCGGUAAUACGGAGGGUGCAAGCGUUACUCGGAAUCACUGGGCGUAAAGAGCGUGUAGGCGGGUUAAUAAGUCAGAAGUGAAAUCCUAUGGCUCAACCAUAGAACUGCUUUUGAAACUGUUAACCUAGAAUAUGGGAGAGGUAGAUGGAAUUUCUGGUGUAGGGGUAAAAUCCGUAGAGAUCAGAAGGAAUACCGAUUGCGAAGGCGAUCUACUGGAACAUUAUUGACGCUGAGACGCGAAAGCGUGGGGAGCAAACAGGAUUAGAUACCCGAGUAGUC